RNAcentral lists this ribosomal RNA (396 nucleotides) under uncultured bacterium. RNAcentral describes it as "partial 16S ribosomal RNA". It matches the Rfam family "Bacterial small subunit ribosomal RNA", at positions 523 to 918 of the family's 1533-position model. The record is from RNAcentral.
AUACGUAGGUGGCGAGCGUUGUCCGGAUUUACUGGGUGUAAAGGGCGCGUAGGCGGGGAAGCAAGUCAGAUGUGAAAUCCAUGGGCUUAACCCAUGAACUGCAUUUGAAACUGUUUCUCUUGAGUGUCGGAGAGGUAGAUGGAAUUCCUAGUGUAGCGGUGAAGUGCGUAGAUAUUAGGGGGAACACCAGUGGCGAAGGCGGUCUCCUGGACAAUAACUGACCAUGAGGCGCGAAAGCGGGGGGAGCAAACAGGAUUAGAUACCCGGGUAGUCCACGCCGUAAACGAUGAAUACUAGGUGUGGGGGAACUGACCCCCUCCGUGCCGCAGUUAACACAAUAAGUAUUCCACCUGGGGAGUACGGCCGCAAGGUUGAAACUCAAAUGAAUUGGCGGGG